RNAcentral lists this ribosomal RNA (512 nucleotides) under uncultured bacterium. RNAcentral's name for it is "partial 16S ribosomal RNA". It matches the Rfam family "Bacterial small subunit ribosomal RNA", at positions 28 to 507 of the family's 1533-position model. The record is from RNAcentral.
GAUGAACGCUGGCGGCGUGCCUAAUACAUGCAAGUCGAACGAAACUUCUUUAUCACCGAGUGCUUGCACUCACCGAUAAAGAGUUGAGUGGCGAACGGGUGAGUAACACGUGGGCAACCUGCCCAAAAGAGGGGGAUAACACUUGGAAACAGGUGCUAAUACCGCAUAACCAUAGUUACCGCAUGGUAACUAUGUAAAAGGUGGCUAUACUACCGCUUUUGGAUGGGCCCGCGGCGCAUUAGCUAGUUGGUAGGGUAAAGGCUUACCAAGGCAAUGAUGCGUAGCCGAAUUGAGAGGUUGAUCGGCCACAUUGGGACUGAGACACGGCCCAAACUCCUACGGGGGGCAGCAGUAGGGAAUCUUCCACAAUGGGCGAAAGCCUGAUGGAGCAACGCCGCGUGGGUGAAGAAGGUCUUCGGAUCGUAAAACCCUGUUGUUAGAGAAGAAAGUGCGUGAGAGUAACUGUUCACGUUUCGACGGUAUCUAACCAGAGAGCCACGGCUAACUACGUG